Pelobates cultripes (western spadefoot toad) is the source of this 270-nucleotide non-coding RNA. The record is from the annotation of a GenBank genome assembly. NCBI's taxonomy places the organism in Eukaryota, Metazoa, Chordata, Amphibia, Anura, Pelobatidae.
GUGGAUUUAAAGGACAAAACAAUUGUGUUUUUUUCUAUUGGGCAUUGCCAAAGCAUGCUCCUCUCAGUUAACCUGUAUUAAUUGUUCCUAAUUUGCAAUAGUGACUUAACGUGACAGGGUGGUUCAUUUAAGAGUUGAAUGAUCAUGUAAUGUAAAUAUAUGAAUUCAAGGCAUACAGUAAAGUAACAAAAUAUAUAAUUUUUUACAUAAGCUUUUUUUCUUUCCAUAAACUGAAUGAUGUACUGCACCACUCCACAUAAUUCUUUAAAC